UUGGCUGUAGUUCAAUGGGAGAACGGCGCGCUGUGAACGCGCAGGUGCAGAGUUCAAUUCUCGCCAGCCAAC
This 72-nucleotide transfer RNA is filed under the name Pyrinomonadaceae bacterium. RNAcentral's name for it is "tRNA-His". It matches the Rfam family "tRNA". From Rfam's summary of the family: Transfer RNA (tRNA) molecules are approximately 80 nucleotides in length. Their secondary structure includes four short double-helical elements and three loops (D, anti-codon, and T loops). The record is from RNAcentral. Lineage: Bacteria; Pseudomonadati; Acidobacteriota; Blastocatellia; Blastocatellales; Pyrinomonadaceae.